CCUACGGGGGGCAGCAGUGGGGAAUCUUCCGCAAUGGGCGAAAGCCUGACGGAGCAACGCCGCGUGAGUGAAGACGGCCUUCGGGUUGUAAAGCUCUGUUAUAGGGGACGAACGGCCGGGCAGCGAACAGGUGCCCGGCAUGACGGUACCGUAAGAGAAAGCCACGGCUAACUACGUGCCAGCAGCCGCGGUAAUACGUAGGUGGCAAGCGUUGUCCGGAAUGAUUGGGCGUAAAGGGCGCGCAGGCGGCUGUGUAAGUCUGUCUAAAAAGUGCGGGGCUAAACCCCGUGAGAGGAUGGAAACUGGACAGCUGAGAGUGUCGGAGAGGAAAGCGGAAUUCCUAGUGUAGCGGUGAAAUGCGUAGAUAUUAGGAGGAACACCGGUGGCGAAAGCGGCUUUCUGGACGACAACUGACGCUGAGGCGCGAAAGCCAGGGGAGCAAACGGGAUUAGAUACCCCUGUAGUC
This 466-nucleotide ribosomal RNA is filed under the name uncultured Megasphaera sp. RNAcentral's name for it is "bacterial SSU rRNA". It matches the Rfam family "Bacterial small subunit ribosomal RNA", at positions 338 to 795 of the family's 1533-position model. Lineage: Bacteria; Bacillati; Bacillota; Negativicutes; Veillonellales; Veillonellaceae. The record is from RNAcentral.